GCGAUCCCCGCGUCACUUCAUUCGGGUGUCGUCAGCCAUGAGGGCCGACUUGGCCGUAUGGGAGACCUUUUUGCGGGAGUUCAAUGGGACGGUGAUUUUUAGACAGGAGGGCGUGUCGGCUGCGGAACUGGAGCUGUUCACAGACGCGUCUGGUAGCGUGGGCUUCGGGGCUUAUUUUGGGGGAUGUUGGUGUGCGGAGCGAUGGCCGAGGGAGUGGCGACUGAGCCCCCUCAUGCGGA
Non-coding RNA from Pelobates cultripes (western spadefoot toad), 239 nucleotides. NCBI's taxonomy places the organism in Eukaryota, Metazoa, Chordata, Amphibia, Anura, Pelobatidae. The record is from the annotation of a GenBank genome assembly.